AGAGCGAACGCUGGCGGCAGGCCUAACACAUGCAAGUCGAGCGCCCCGCAAGGGGAGCGGCAGACGGGAGAGUAACACGUGGGAACGUACCCUUCAGUUCGGAACAACCCAGGGAAACUUGGGCUAAUACCGAAUACGUCCGUAAGGAGAAAGAUUUAUCGCUGAAGGAUCGGCCCGCGUCUGAUUAGCUUGUUGGUGAGGUAACGGCUCACCAAGGCGACGAUCAGUAGCUGGUCUGAGAGGAUGAUCAGCCUCACUGGGACUGAGACACGGCCCAGACUCCUACGGGAGGCAGCAGUGGGGAAUAUGGACAAUGGGCGCAAGCCUGAUCCAGCCAUGCCGCGUGGGUGAUGAAGGCCCUAGGGUUGUAAAGCCCUUUCGGCGGGGAAGAUAAUGACGGUACCCGCAGAAGAACGCCCCGGCUAACUUCGCGCCAGCAGCCGC
This 444-nucleotide ribosomal RNA is filed under the name uncultured bacterium. RNAcentral describes it as "SSU rRNA". It matches the Rfam family "Bacterial small subunit ribosomal RNA", at positions 26 to 518 of the family's 1533-position model. The record is from RNAcentral.